CCCUUAGACGUUCUGGGCCGCACGCGCGCUACACUGACGAAGGCAACGAGCUUUCCUUUACCGAAAGGUACGGGUAAUCUUUUGAAACUUCGUCGUGCUGGGGAUAGAUCCUUGCAAUUAUUGAUCUUAAACGAGGAAUUCCUAGUAAGCGCAAGUCAUCAACUUGCGUUGAUUACGUCCCUGCCCUUUGUACACACCGCCCGUCGCACCUACCGAUUGAAUGGUCCGGUGAAAUCUCCGGACUGGCGUGAGUCGGAGCAAUCUGACAAACACCGGAAAGUUGAUUAAACCUUACCAUUUAGAGGAAGGUGAAGUCGUAACA
RNAcentral lists this ribosomal RNA (322 nucleotides) under uncultured eukaryote. Its description in RNAcentral is "partial 18S ribosomal RNA". It matches the Rfam family "Eukaryotic small subunit ribosomal RNA", at positions 1470 to 1796 of the family's 1831-position model. The record is from RNAcentral.